RNAcentral lists this ribosomal RNA (253 nucleotides) under uncultured bacterium. Its description in RNAcentral is "partial 16S ribosomal RNA". It matches the Rfam family "Bacterial small subunit ribosomal RNA", at positions 524 to 776 of the family's 1533-position model. The record is from RNAcentral.
UACGUAGGUGGCAAGCGUUGUCCGGAUUUACUGGGCGUAAAGAGCGCGCAGGCGGUCAGAUAAGUCGAAUGUGAAAGCCCCCGGCUCAACUGGGGAGGGUCAUUCGAUACUGUUCGACUCGAAGGCAGGAGAGGGAAGCGGAAUUCCCGGUGUAGUGGUGAAAUGCGUAGAUAUUGAGAGGAACACCUGCGGCGAAGGCGGGUCUCUGGGCCGAUACUGACGCUGAGGAGCGAAAGCGUGGGGAGCGAACAGG